Molecule: unclassified non-coding RNA, 235 nt
Filed under: plant metagenome
Description: partial contains small subunit ribosomal RNA and internal transcribed spacer 1
Rfam family: Eukaryotic small subunit ribosomal RNA (bases 1-46)
Source: RNAcentral
AAGUCGUAACAAGGUUUCCGUAGGUGAACCUGCGGAAGGAUCAUUAAAGAGUAAGGGCCUCUGGCCCGAACCUCCAACCCUCUGUUGUUAUAACUACUUCGUUUGCAUUUGGCGGGACCGCCGAAAGGGUUCUCCCGAGCGCCGCCAGUCCCGGACAGGCGAGCGCCCGCAGAGUCUAACCAAACUGCUUGUUUUAAACCAGUCGUCUGAGUAUAAAAUUUUAAUUAAAUUAAAA